This is a long non-coding RNA of Heterocephalus glaber (naked mole-rat), 1167 nucleotides long. NCBI's taxonomy places the organism in Eukaryota, Metazoa, Chordata, Mammalia, Rodentia, Bathyergidae. The record is from Ensembl.
CAGCUAUUCCACCUGGGUUCUUUCCUUUCCUUUCCAGGCUGAGGAACAGAGGAAUGGACAGAACAUGAGAGGGGCAGAUGGGACUGGAGGGCCCAUCCUCACGUCUGCGUCCACUCCAGCCACUGCGUGUUGUUUGGCCAGGGUCAGGGUCUGUAGUGGCUCCAGACCAGCCGCACAGGGUGUGCAGCUGUGUGAGACUCCACUUCCGAGGCCCUUCUUAGGGGGUUCCCCACCCCGGCUCCACGUGGGAAUCAGCUGGGGAGGGAGCUUCGCCCGGCCGUGCCCGGGCAACCCGACUUGACCUUGCUUCCAGAGGCAGCGGCCUCGCUGUGCUCCCGGAGCCACGAGCUGAGAUCCACUGCUCCAGGUCAGAGGCUGGGUCACACACAGAUCGCAGGCCCUUCCUCCAGGUCUGCCUCCACCUCUGCAUCCAGGAGACAUCUUCCUGCAGGGCUGGGCCUCCGUUUCUCUGGAAGCUCUUUCCACUCCCUACUGUCUCCCAAGGUCCAGAGACUUCAGAGGCCCUGGUCAGCUGGGCUCUGCUCAGGCUGCCGGAAGCCACGGUGUGGGGGGACCAGCCCACCUAGCCCUGUGGCUGGGAGAAGAGCGGGCAAUGAGGACACCGGGAGAGAAAGGGACAGGGAGGGAGAGGAGGAGACAGCCACGGAGCCCACAGCUGCUGCUGCGGUUGCAGCCUUGCCAGGCCAGGGCACCACACAGACCCAGACCCUGGGGCGCCCGCCUGCUGUGAGUCCCCAUUGCUGCGGAUGCGAAUUGGCCUCCCUCAGCCUCCCUGUGCCUCAGUUACCCUACCUUCCAGACAGGGAUGAGCUUCCGCCUGCCUGUGGGAGGGCACGGGCACCCCGGAGGAGCCAAGCUGUCCGUCACUCUGCAUCGUGCUAUCCUUGGGCUUUUUGGCUGCUCCCUUCACCCGCUCUCUGCCUUGUCCUCGGAGGCAGUUUUAAUCACUGCACUGCAGAAGCCCUCAUGGCCCAGCUCACAAGGUAAAAGCCCGACUCUGGGGCUUGGCUCUUGACUACCUGGUCCUGCCCACAGCCUCCCUUCCAAAGCAGUGUGCUCCCGUGCGGUUCUCCCUGCUUCUUCCCUCCCCUCCCCGCGCCCACUGCCGGUAUCCCUGUCACGUCACACUCAGCUCUCACUUCUGCC